GAUGAACGCUGGCGGCGUGCCUAAUACAUGCAAGUAGAACGCUGAAGGAGGAGCUUGCUCUUCUGGAUGAGUUGCGAACGGGUGAGUAACGCGUAGGUAACCUGCCUGGUAGCGGGGGAUAACUAUUGGAAACGAUAGCUAAUACCGCAUGACAACAGUUAUUGCAUGAUAACCGUAUAAAAGGGGCAACUGCUCCACUACCAGAUGGACCUGCGUUGUAUUAGCUAGUUGGUGAGGUAACGGCUCACCAAGGCGACGAUACAUAGCCGGCCUGAGAGGGGGGACCGCCACCCUGGGACUGGGACACGGCCCAGACUCCUACGGGAGGCCGCAGGAGGGAAUCUUCGGCCAUGGACGGAAGUCUGACCGAGCAACGCCGCGUGAGGGAAGAAGGGUCUCGGAUCGGAAAGCUCUGUUGUAAGGGAAGAACGAGUGUGGGAGUGGAAAGUUCACACUGUGACGGUAUCUUACCAGAAAGGGACGGCUAACUACGUG
RNAcentral lists this ribosomal RNA (495 nucleotides) under uncultured bacterium. Its description in RNAcentral is "partial 16S ribosomal RNA". It matches the Rfam family "Bacterial small subunit ribosomal RNA", at positions 28 to 507 of the family's 1533-position model. The record is from RNAcentral.